Molecule: ribosomal RNA, 236 nt
Filed under: uncultured bacterium
Lineage: Bacteria
Description: partial 16S ribosomal RNA
Rfam family: Bacterial small subunit ribosomal RNA
Source: RNAcentral
CGGGACGGGUGAGUAACGCGUGGAUAACCUGCCUCACACUGGGGGAUAACAGUUAGAAAUGACUGCUAAUACCGCAUAAGCGCACAGUACCGCAUGGUACAGUGUGAAAAACUCCGGUGGUGUGAGAUGGAUCCGCGUCUGAUUAGCCAGUUGGCGGGGUAACGGCCCACCAAAACGACGAUCAGUAGCCGACCUGAGAGGGUGACCGGCCACAUUGGGACUGAGACACGGCCCAA